This 3658-nucleotide long non-coding RNA is filed under the name Marmota monax (woodchuck). Lineage: Eukaryota; Metazoa; Chordata; Mammalia; Rodentia; Sciuridae. The record is from RNAcentral.
GUGAGAUCAAGUUUUUAGCUUCCACAUGUAAGCGAGAACUUGCAGUUUGUGUUUUUCUGUGCCUGACUUACUUCAUUUAACAUAAUGUCCUUUAUUCCCCAUUUAUAUUACUGCAAAUGACAAAAUUUUACUAUUUUUUUUAUGAAGAUAAACCCACAUUCUUGUCCAAAGUGAUUAAACAUGCUCAUCAGCAGUGUACAGGAGUUCUGUUUUCCCACAACUUCAUUAAUACUUGGUUUUGUUAGACAUUUAUUUUUGCCUGUAUACUUUAUAAAAUGAUAUUAUUAAGUUGGAUUUUAAACCUCACUUCCCUGAUUUUGAUGAAUUGAACAUUUCAUUCAUGUUUCUUCUUUUUGGAAAUGUCUAUUCAUUUCUAAUGGAUUACUAGUCUUUUUCUUAUCAUAAGAAUUUAUACAUUCUGAACACAAAAAUUGUUCAGUUUUGUGUGAUCCAAGUAUUGUUUCUCAGUUUUUUUAAAACAUUCUAAAUAUUGUUUCUCAACCCUGUCACUAUCUUCACUCAAAUUCUAAAAUUUUGACUUUUGCAUUUAAGUGUCUAAUCCAUGUACAAGAAACAGAUUUUUGUUUGUCUGUUGAAGCCAGAAAUGCAUUUCCUCUAUUUUCCAAAUAAAAAACUAUUUUCCCAGCCCUAUUAGAUUUUCAUAUAUAUGUGUGGGAGAGUUUGAGGAAUUUUUUUGAACUUCCAAACAAAUAUUAGAAUCAAUUUGCCCUUUUUCAUUUUUUUAAAAAUGGAAUUUUUUUUUUAUUAACUGCUGUUAAGCUUUUUAUUGGAAUUGUAAUGGAUAAUUUGGAGAAAAUUAGCAUCUAUAGGACACUGAGUAUUCCCCUUCGUCCAGGAACCUGAUAUCUCUCCUCUUAUUUAAAUAUCUUGUGUUUAUUUAAAUAAGCUAUAUAUUUUUCUCUAUAAAGAUUAACAUAUUUUCAUGAAAUUUAAUCAUAGGUUCUUUGUGUUUUUAAUACUAUUAUUACUCAUUUAAAAAUAUAUUUUCCAGGGUCUGGGGUUGCGAUUCGGUGGUAGAGCACUUGCCUAGCAUGCGUGAGGCACUGGGUUCAAUCCCUGGUACCGCAUAAAAAUAAAUAAAUAAAUAAACAAAUAAAAUAAAGGUAUUGUGUCCAUUUACAACUAAAAAAAUUUUUUUAAAUAUAUAUAUUUUUUCCAAUUUAGUUGGUGUAUUGAAAUGAAGUUGAUAUUUGGAUAUUGAUCUUACAUAUAGCCACUUUAUUGAAAUCUUUUAUGAAGUUUGGUAAACUAUAUUUUUAUAUUGGAGAUUUUUUUUCCUGCAAACAUAAAUAUUGUAAAUACUAACAUUUUUGUUCUUUCAUCCCAGUCCAUAUGAAUUUCCUGUGUGUUUCAUAUUUCAAUGACUGUGAUAGCUAGUACAGUUCAUAUUAGCGGAGAGGAUAGGAGGCAUCAUUGUCUUAUUCCUCAGUGUAGAGUGAGCACUUUAAAUAUUUUACCAUCAUCAGAGGACAUGCCUAUAGGCACAUGCCUAUAAAAUCUCAGUGAUUUAGGAGGCUGAGGCAGGAGGAUCUCAAGUUCAGGGCCAGCUUAGACAGUUUUAGUCAUCUUUUUUGUUGCUGUGACCAAAAGACCUGACAAGUACAAUUAGAGGAGAAAAAGUUGAUUCUGGGGCUCAUGUUUCAGAGAUCUCAGUCCAUAGGCAGUUGGUUCCAUUCCUUGGGGCACAAGGUGAGGCAGAGCAUCAUGGUGAAAGGGUAUGGCAGGGGAAAGCAGCUGGAAACAUAACACCCAGGAAGCAGAGAGAGUUCUUCUCUACAAGAACAAAAUAUAUACCCCCAAAGUCAUGCCCUCAGGGACGCUGUACUCCAGCCACAUCCUACCUGCCUACCUUUACCACCAAGUUAAUUCCUAUCAGGGGAUUAAUACACUGACAAUAAUUUCACCUAUAAACCUUGCAUUAUCUCACACAUGAACUUUUGGUGGACACCUGAUAUCUAAACCAUAAAAGAGACUCUGUCUCAAAAUAAAAAAUAAAAAGGGCUGGGGAUGUAGCUCAGUGGUAGAGUACCCCUGGGUUCAAUUCCCAGUACCAUCAAAUUAUAGUAUUGACUGUAAUAGUUGCUGUGAAGUUUUGGUACAUGUUCUUUAUCAGGCUAAAUAAAUUUGAAACUUUGUAAAGAGGAUUUUAAAAUUUUGCUUUUACUUUUUAAAUCAUGAAUGGCUAAUAAGAACUUUUGAUCCACCAAUGUUAUCAUUUUAUUUUCUACUUUUAUCUGUUAGUGAGAUGAAUUGCAUUGAUAAGUUUCUGUUAUUAAACCAUUCUUACAUUUUUGAAAUAAUUUGAACUUAGUUGUGAUAAUUCUUUUGAUAUGCUGCUCAACAAUGACAUCAUUUUUGUAGAUACGAACUAAUUUUAAACCAAGAGAGAAAAGAAGUUAUAUAUGUUUGUUGCAAAUAAGGUCUUUUCAGAGUAUCUUUAUAAGGUGGUCCACUUUACUACAGGGUGUGAGAAUCUCCAGAUAUUAAUGUAGGUAGUAGCUGAUGAAGAAGAAGGAACACUGGAAAAUUAAAUUAGUUGUUUUUUUAAGGUGCUGGGGACCAAACCCAGGGCCUUCUGCAUGCUGGGCCAGUGCUAUACCAUUGAGCUAUGCCUCCAAUCCCUACAAAGUUACAUUUUAAUCUCAUUUUGUCCUUCUCUUCACCUGAGAGAACUAAUAAAAUUACUUGAUUCAUGUGGGCCUUAUCUUUCUCACUGAAUUUCUUUGAGACUCAGAGACAUGUUGGCAACUAGCCAUGUGACUUCACUUGCUUUACUAUUAACCUGUCAUUACCAACAAACAUUUAUUUAUUAGAAACUAAGGACAAAGCAAAGUCUAUUCCUUAAGGAAUUUCUAUUCUGGGAGGGGCAGAGGUAAUAGUUUAUUUAUGUCUUGAAACAAAAUGAUUUAUCUUAUCCUCUAUAGUCUACACUGGUUGUGAUGUAUGGGGAGAAGGUAGGGUGCCAAGGAGUCCUUAGGGUAGAGAAAAGGGAAGAACAAGUUCCCGAUUGCAUAUGAUCUCAAUCUCCUGAAAGGUGGCCAUGAAUGUCUUCAUGAACCUUCAUGAACCAGUUAUUAGCAAAGGCCUUAGACUUUGUUCUCCAGUGGCCUUUCUGGGUUGGAAAUUUUGUCUCUUUGACCUCAGGACUGUGUCCCCCUUUUCAAAGACUUUACAAAUAAUUUCAUGCUUAACCAGUUUGUGUUCCUACCUCUGGCCUAUGGACCUUGGAAUCUUUUGUUCUAACAGGCUUAAGGUUGUGAGUAAUAGAACAGAAUCUUCUUGGUUCUAUUUAAGUAAUACCAGCAUAUUUCACUUAGAGAAAAUGAUGAUAUUGACAUUAAUCAUAACAGAGAAUUAACCUAUUAACUUUGUUUUUUAUGGAAUUUCUCAAUUUAUUGUUACCGUAAAUAGAUUUUUAAAUUUCUAGACAAUGUAAUUUCUAAGUGCAUUUUAUUUGUAUCUUAUUUCAGUGCUGGACCCAAAGGAGACAACAUUUAUGAGUGGAGGUCAACUAUAUUGGGACCCCCUGGAUCUGUCUAUGAAGGAGGGGUGUUCUUUCUUGACAUUACCUUUUCACCAGACUAUCCGUUUAAACCCCCAAAGGUCAGUAUGAAGUGUUCAUCCAUUUUUAGCAAUA